UACUGUUACUUGCUGGUAGUCCCCGUGGCAUUACCAUUUCACCAACUUUCCUCUCAUGGGGGAUAACAACACGUCUCACCACCUUCCGGGUGAUCUGUGGGAAGCAAUACACGGAAAGUAUCGAUUUUUAUUUUUUUCCUGGAUUCUAAAGGGAAAAAGUAUGUUAAAAGAAGUUACUUGAAAGCAAAGACUCAGAGCAGUGAUGUAAUUCAUGAUUACUUUUCUCGUGAUGACGUUGCCUUCUUCAUCGGUAAACUGUUCCUCUGUUACAGAUUCACCAGGAAUGUUUUUUGCUUCCUCACCCUAAAGAAUGUGUUAUAAGAUUAGCAAUAGAGCCUAUAUUCUGUCAAACCCACACAAAUUUCCACACCAAUCCAAGCAACAAGCACAUGCUAGCUUCAACUUUAUGUAACAGUUUGCUUUAUGCCACACCAACUGUUGGAAAGCCUCGUUCAUUUAGCAAUGCAAUACCUGUGCAUUUGUCCUACGAGAUGUUUCCUUAAAGCCUGUAGAGAGCUCCUAGCACGCUAUUUAUUAACUAAUUAACACACACUCUUAUUAACUAAUGCAUGUCAGGAACUCUCUGGGCAACAAAACUGAGUGGUCAGUCUGAGCCCUAUGAGACACCCCUUAGCUUUUCACAGCUUCUCAGUGAAACUCAGCAGCGUUUCUGCUUUGGCACACACAGAAACACGGCCUAACAAGGGGGAAAUUUGGGACUUAGAAAGACAGCUCUGCCUAUAGCUUGCUAAACACGAGGUCUUAAACACAAACACAGAAGACAGACAGGACUUCUCAGCACUUACACGAUGAAGGAAGUUGUCUUACGUGACACUUUGCCCGGCACGGUGCCACCGUGGCGAGGAGCCUGGGCAGCCCGGUCCAUGACUUACUGAGAUCAGCAGCACUGCAGCCAUCACUUCUUGUAGCACCAGCAAUUUAUAGCACCAGUGUAAAUAAAUGUAAAAGCAGUUUCCUAGCUGCUAUGCCAGCGACUUAAUUCCACUUAAAGGAAUUAUUGCUUAAAUCAUAAAUAAAUGACAUUAGUCUGAGCCCAGCUGGCAGUCAUGAACUUACGUUCCAAAAGAGCUUUGUUAACUUUACCUCACAAAGUCCUAUUUCCAAACCUGGGUGCUUUUGAUGCUUCAAAAAUAUCAAUUUUAUGUGCUUAUAUCUUUCAUAUAAGAGAAGCAAACAUAAUGAUACUGUAGCUGCCCCACAUAUGAAAAAUUUCCACUUGUAAAUCAAUAACCCAAGUAAACAAAAACAAAAAAAAAAACUCCUUAAAACUUUUCUUCUCCCCUCACUCUCAACCCACUAUGGAAAAACUACAAGUAGAGGGAGGAAGCAGAAAGAAAACACUGUAUAAAACACAUUAUAACAAUAUUAACUACACAACACUAUUUGAAAGGAGACUAUUACAGCUUUUGUAAUGCUUCGAUGUACUGAACACCAAGGGCAAAUAUAUUUUCUAUUUACCGUGGUCUAUACACUGCAUAGUUGUCUGCAUAAGCUCCUGGCACUGCUUUAUAAUAAACAAAUACAGUGAUGCCAUGUGUAUUUUUUAAAAACAGUAUUCCCUACUAAACAGCUUUUUCAAGACGUACACUGUAACAUUGGGAUUGUAUGCUAUUUCUAAGCUCUAAGCAAAACAAACCUUUCCUUUUGUUUACAAGCCAUUUGUGGUCUUUUCUAGCCAAGCCUUUCCAUUUUGCUUGCCUGGGGACAACGGCAGUGGGCAGGAGCCGGGGAGAGCACUGCAGAGCAGAGCCCCUGGCCAUGUUUGCCUCUUCACAAGUACAGAAUUUCUGCUGGUUUCGCAUGAAAGCUGUACUCAAGUCACCACUUAAGCAAGGGAAUUCAGAUAUUUUACACAUCUUUUCCCCCAGGCCUUCACAGGCUGUUUAGCAAGCUGUACAACCUGCUGAACUUUGGUGCUUCCAGGAAACACUGCCAAGAGAAGGACAGGCUCCACAGCCAGGUGGGUUCCAGCGCACAGGGACAUAAGGAUGAGGUGCUGUGCCUGAGACACACCUAGCUGAGGUGCCUGGGCCAGGGAAUGCUGGCGUCCCUAAAAAGCACACAACAAACAGCUACUGAAGCCUUCAGAUGGAGCCUGAAAAACUCAUUCCCCAGAAGGAGAAGUGGCACAGGUGCCCAGACAGGGCACCAGGCUCUGUGCAGGAGAAGGAGGGAAGUGUGAGGCUGGUCCCUGGGCGAGCGGGGCCCCAGUGGCAGCCGGCUGCUUCCUUUCUCACCAGAGAGGGAUGGACUGCUGCCAGGCAGGGCCAGCCACUGGGCAAAGGGUUUGGGAACUGAAACCUGCAGGCUUUCCUGCUCACAGAGAGAUGGCAGGGGGAAAGACUGAUUCUGGAGGCUUCACACACUAAUCAGAUGAGAGCAGAUGGGGAACUGAUGCACAGUUUCUUUUCUGGCCUUUCACGUAUGGCUCCAACACAGUACCCCCAGGAGCAGGAGGGAACCCUGGCACAGACAUCUCAUGGAGCACAGAGGAAUGGAAAGGUUCCCUCUCAUGAGUAGGGUCUCAUGAGAGGGAACCACUACAAUAAAACCCAUGAAAA
Non-coding RNA from Zonotrichia albicollis (white-throated sparrow), 2582 nucleotides. The record is from RefSeq and is a predicted model, not a curated record. NCBI's taxonomy places the organism in Eukaryota, Metazoa, Chordata, Aves, Passeriformes, Passerellidae.